Molecule: transfer RNA, 74 nt
Filed under: Dallia pectoralis (Alaska blackfish)
Lineage: Eukaryota; Metazoa; Chordata; Actinopteri; Esociformes; Umbridae
Description: tRNA-Thr
Rfam family: tRNA
About the family: Transfer RNA (tRNA) molecules are approximately 80 nucleotides in length. Their secondary structure includes four short double-helical elements and three loops (D, anti-codon, and T loops). Further hydrogen bonds mediate the characteristic L-shaped molecular structure. tRNAs have two regions of fundamental functional importance: the anti-codon, which is responsible for specific mRNA codon recognition, and the 3' end, to which the tRNAs corresponding amino acid is attached (by aminoacyl-tRNA synthetases). tRNAs cope with the degeneracy of the genetic code in two manners: having more than one tRNA (with a specific anti-codon) for a particular amino acid; and 'wobble' base-pairing, i.e. permitting non-standard base-pairing at the 3rd anti-codon position.
Source: RNAcentral
GAGGAGUUGAUAGUUCAGUGGUAGAGCGCAUGCUCUGUAUGUAUGAUGUCCUGGGUUCAAUUUCCAGCUUCUCA